AGCAGAAUCAACCAUAGGCAAACUAAGAUAAGAAAAAUAAGGUCCUCUACAGAAGCAUACAUAAUUCAUGACACUGAAUAAAUAUCAAACUCAGGACUCAGACAAAUUAGAGACUAGAGUAACAGUAACCAUCUCUAAAAGUGCUGCUCUCAUAACAUGAAAUUCUUGUUCAAAUACCAUCAAAAUCACGUCGACACAACAUGUAAGGCCUCACAGCUAACAUGUUAUGUCUGAUACGCGCAACCUGGACUGGUUGGGGGUUCUUCUAUUCAGAUAAUGUUGACUUCAAUUCACCCCCGCUAUGUAAUUCCAGCACGAUAUCACAUCCUCCUACAAGUUCGCCUUUGUAAUACAGCUGCGGAUAAGUUGGCCAGUUAGAGAAGGUCUUCAGUCCCUGCCUUACUUCUUCGUCGGAUAGAAUAUCAAAGGAUCCAAAAUCAACCCCUUCCUCCUUCAAGGCAUUUACCACCUUGGAGCUGAAACCACAUCUUGGAGAAUCUGGUGUACCCUUCAUGAAGAGCAUUACAGGUGAGGAAUUCAGUAGAUUCUUUAAACGGUCUUCAAGACUAACUUUCUGGUGUAUCCCCUUCUCAGUCAGAACCUUCCUAAACUCACCGCUCUUUUGCAUCUCCAGUACAAUGUCUGAUCCACCAAUAAGUUCACCCUUUAUGUACAGCUGUGGAUAACUAGACCAGUUGGAAUAAACUUUCAGUCCUUGACGGACUUCAUCAUCAGAAAGAAUGUCAAAAGUCUCAAACUCCACUUUCUCCUGUUUGAGAAUAUCCACCACCUUUCUGCUGAAUCCACACCGGGGUUCAUCAACUGUUCCUUUCAUAAACAGCAUAACUGGGCUAGAGUUUAUCAGACCUGCAAGACGAGUAGUCAAGGCAGUACUCAAGCCAGAUUGUUCAGAGAUGCCACCCUUCCCACCCGCAGUUUUAUUCGGUUUAGUUUCAAGAGAAUCAGAGACCCCAACCCCGUGAUCCUUGAAAACAUCUGUAAGUUCACCACUCUCAUGCAUAGUUAUAACAAUAUCACAACCACCAAGAAGUUCACCCUUGCAGUACAGUUGAGGAUAUGUUGGCCAAUUGGAAAAUUUCUUCAGACCCUCACGGACCUCACUGUCCAUCAGAAUAUCAAAACUUCCAAAUUUGACCUUCUCUUUCUUCAAGAUAUCAACGACUUUCUGACUAAAACCACACUUGGGUUCUUCUGGGGUCCCUUUCAUGAAAAGCAAUACUGGAUGAGAAGAAACCAGCUGCUGAAGUCGCUUUGUUAGCCGAUCAUCAAGACCAGAACUUGACACUUGAGGGGCACCGUUUUCUCUAGACAACUCCUGAAUUGCUUCAAGAACAGAGGGACCUGCAGCCAUUCCUAGGCUAGCAGGAGCGGCAGGAUCCCCAGGAGUGAUUGACCCAGCAAUUUUUGCAACCUUGUUAGCCAAACUAGAUGGAUCGGCCCCUUCCAAUGUAUCAACAGCUUUCCCUUCCUUGAAGAAGACAAAGUAAGGUACAGCAGAAACAGAGUGCAGCUCAGAUAUCUCAGGCUGUUCUUCAGCUUCAACUCUUAGAAAAUGGGCAUGUGGGAAAUCAGUAGAAAGAUGCGAAAAGACUUGGUCCAUGUGCUUAGAAGCUUCACACCAUGAUGCCCAAAAGUGCAAAAUCGCCGGUGAUCCGUCGGCGACAAUCUUAUCAAGCUCCGCCUUCGAUUGAACUUCCUUCACUGAUCCUCCUCCGCCCAUUCUCGAUUCUU
This 1752-nucleotide unclassified non-coding RNA is filed under the name Hevea brasiliensis (rubber tree). Lineage: Eukaryota; Viridiplantae; Streptophyta; Magnoliopsida; Malpighiales; Euphorbiaceae. The record is from RNAcentral.